GCUGGGCAUGAUGGCUCACAUCUGUAAUCCUGGUGGCUCAGGAGGCUGAGGCAGGAGGAUCAUGAGUACAAAACUGCCUCAGCAAUGGUGGGGCAUUAAAAAACUCAAUGAGACCCUGCCUCUA
Molecule: small RNA, 124 nt
Filed under: Marmota monax (woodchuck)
Lineage: Eukaryota; Metazoa; Chordata; Mammalia; Rodentia; Sciuridae
Source: RNAcentral